This 71-nucleotide transfer RNA is filed under the name Bacteroidota bacterium. Its description in RNAcentral is "tRNA-Cys". It matches the Rfam family "tRNA". From Rfam's summary of the family: Transfer RNA (tRNA) molecules are approximately 80 nucleotides in length. Their secondary structure includes four short double-helical elements and three loops (D, anti-codon, and T loops). Further hydrogen bonds mediate the characteristic L-shaped molecular structure. tRNAs have two regions of fundamental functional importance: the anti-codon, which is responsible for specific mRNA codon recognition, and the 3' end, to which the tRNAs corresponding amino acid is attached (by aminoacyl-tRNA synthetases). tRNAs cope with the degeneracy of the genetic code in two manners: having more than one tRNA (with a specific anti-codon) for a particular amino acid; and 'wobble' base-pairing, i.e. permitting non-standard base-pairing at the 3rd anti-codon position. Lineage: Bacteria; Pseudomonadati; Bacteroidota. The record is from RNAcentral.
GGCGACGUGGCCGAGUGGUUAGGCACGGGUCUGCAAAACCCUGUACGGGAGUUCGAAUCUCCCCGUCGCCU